CCCCUCUCAGGGUCAUACCUGGAGAGUUUCCAGUAUUCUACCAGUCUCGACUACGGAAGGGAGAGUCAAGCAGAGGCCUGCCCAUUCCAUUCCUAGCUUGGGCAGUGGCUAGAGAGUGGAAGACAAUCUGCUACAAGU
This 138-nucleotide small nucleolar RNA is filed under the name Ornithorhynchus anatinus (platypus). Lineage: Eukaryota; Metazoa; Chordata; Mammalia; Monotremata; Ornithorhynchidae. The record is from RNAcentral.